This 496-nucleotide ribosomal RNA is filed under the name uncultured bacterium. RNAcentral describes it as "partial 16S ribosomal RNA". It matches the Rfam family "Bacterial small subunit ribosomal RNA", at positions 28 to 506 of the family's 1533-position model. The record is from RNAcentral.
GAUGAACGCUGGCGGCGUGCCUAAUACAUGCAAGUCGAGCGAACGGACGAGAAGCUUGCUUCUCUGAUGUUAGCGGCGGACGGGUGAGUAACACGUGGAUAACCUACCUAUAAGACUGGGAUAACUUCGGGAAACCGGAGCUAAUACCGGAUGAUAUUUUGAACCGCAUGGUUCAAAAGUGAAAGACGGUCUUGCUGUCACUUAUAGAUGGAUCCGCGCUGCAUUAGCUAGUUGGUAAGGUAACGGCUUACCAAGGCAACGAUGCAUAGCCGACCUGAGGGGGUGAUCGGCCACACUGGAACUGAGACACGGUCCAGACUCCUACGGGAGGCAGCAGUAGGGAAUCUUCCGCAAUGGGCGAAAGCCUGACGGAGCAACGCCGCGUGAGUGAUGAAGGUCUUCGGAUCGUAAAACUCUGUUAUUAGGGAAGAACAUAUGUGUAAGUAACUGUGCACAUCUGGACGGUACCUAAUCAGAAAACCACGGCUAACUACGU